This 566-nucleotide long non-coding RNA is filed under the name Phasianus colchicus (ring-necked pheasant). RNAcentral's name for it is "lncRNA (ENSPCLG00000003272.1)". The record is from RNAcentral. Lineage: Eukaryota; Metazoa; Chordata; Aves; Galliformes; Phasianidae.
UUGAAAUAACAUCAGAAUGUUUAACAAAUAUAUUUUUAUACACAAAGAGCUUAUUUAGGUUUGCAAAAAUUAUCAGAACGUGGUAAAGAUUCACUUGGCUUAUAGAAUUUUUCUUUAAAGUCUGAAUACUUUUGGUUCCGCCAUGUAGAAUUCCCAUUACCACUGGCCCUGCUGUCUGAAUUGCUGCAGCACUUGCACCCACACCCAGGUGUAAUGCCCAGCCCACCAACAGCCCACAGCUGGACAGAAUUAGGGUAUUUCUUGAUGGGAGUGCUCCAGACAUUGCUUUCUCCAGUCAUUGCCUUCCUCAUUGAUUAGCGCCUUGCAGUCCUUACCUAUGCUUUCUCUGAAGGUUUUUUUUAAUCUUUGUAUUGUCUUCAAGACCUCUGGCACCACACAUGCAUUGCAGAUACAGCACUGAGACUCCAGCCUCCAGGUGGUACCACAGGACAAAGUAUAAAGGAACCUAUGAGUCAGGACGUAUAUCCCACUAUGAAAUAUUCUCCACAGAAAGGCUCUGGGACCGUGCGCUCUGCCCUGCCUGGAAAUGCCUGAAACCAGGAUAA